Molecule: ribosomal RNA, 465 nt
Filed under: uncultured bacterium
Lineage: Bacteria
Description: partial 16S ribosomal RNA
Rfam family: Bacterial small subunit ribosomal RNA
Source: RNAcentral
CCUACGGGUGGCAGCAGUAGGGAAUUUUCGGCAAUGGGCGAAAGCCUGACCGAGCAACGCCGCGUGAACGAAGAAUGUCUUCGGAUUGUACAGUUCUGUUAUAGAGGAAGAAUGGUGUACGAAGGAAAUGGCGUACAAAUGACGGUACUCUGUGAGGAAGCCACGGCUAACUACGUGCAAGCAGCCGCGGUAAUACGUAGGUGGCGAGCGUUAUCCGGAAUCAUUGGGCGUAACGAGGGAGCAGGCGGCCUGGAGGGUCUAUUGUUAAAAGGCAAUGGCUUAACCAUUGUAAGGAGAAGAAACCGGCAGGCUAGAGUACUAUAGAGGUUCGUGGAAUGCGAGGUGUAGCGGUGAAAUGCGUAGAUAUAUGGAGGAACACCAGUGGCGAAGGCGACGAUCUGGGAAGAAACAGACGCUGAGUCCCGAAAGCGUGGGGAGCAAAUAGGAUUAGAUACCCGAGUAGUC